This 506-nucleotide ribosomal RNA is filed under the name uncultured ciliate. Its description in RNAcentral is "SSU rRNA". It matches the Rfam family "Eukaryotic small subunit ribosomal RNA", at positions 289 to 809 of the family's 1831-position model. The record is from RNAcentral. Lineage: Eukaryota; Ciliophora.
GACAAACCAUUCAAGUUUCUGCCCCAUCAGCUUUCGAUGGUAGUGUAUUGGACUACCAUGGCUUUUACGGGUAACGGAGGAUUAGGGUUCGAUUCCGGAGAGGGAGCCUGAGAAACGGCUACCACAUCUAAGGAAGGCAGCAGGCGCGUAAAUUACCCAAUCCUAAUUCAGGGAGGUAGUGACAAGAAAUAACGGGUCGGGGCUAUGCCCCGGGACUGCAAUGAGAUGAAUUUACACCCCUUUUCGAGUAACAAUUGGAGGGCAAGUCUGGUGCCAGCAGCCGCGGUAAUUCCAGCUCCAAUAGCGUAUAUUAAAGUUGUUGCAGUUAAAAAGCUCGUAGUUGGAUUUCUGGUUGGCUAGUUUCUGCCUCCUUGUGGAUGCGCAGUGGUAGCCUACCAUCCUUCUGUUAACCCAGCAGCUCUUCACGGGGCUACUGCGGGGCUCAGAUAUUUUACCUUGAGAAAAUUAGAGUGUUUCAGGCAGGCUAGCGCCGGAAUACAUUAGCA